Molecule: long non-coding RNA, 559 nt
Organism: Oryzias melastigma (Indian medaka)
Lineage: Eukaryota; Metazoa; Chordata; Actinopteri; Beloniformes; Adrianichthyidae
Exons: 3
Source: RefSeq, a predicted model, not a curated record
CGCUAUGUUGCCCUCAAUGCUCUCGCUGCCCUCGCCACCAACCAUUGACCCAGCCUCACUUGCUAAGCUGCCACUAUGCACCUUCGACUCCUCCCCUUCUCUUCCUUUAAGGUUGGUCUAAGCUGUAUGCAACAAAUUGACAUAAAAGGUACAUUUUUGUAAAAUGGUGGCUUUUCUGUUGGUUUUAUCUCCAUAGCAACCAUUUUAUUUUUUACUCGCCUAGGGUCACCGAACAAAUUAGCAUGACACCUCUUUCGCCAUGUGAAGACUUGAGGAGUAAACAGUGUCUUUACUGAUUACAACGCCUCUUUCUCUAUCUGCAGGCCAAGCAAGCAUGUCACUGGUGGGAUCCAUCUCCAGAGUAUCGACGUGCUACAUUUCUCAGCUUCCCCAGCGGAGGCUGACAUUCAUCUAGAAUCACCCACAUGGAACUUGAGCAGUGCGAAGUAUUGUUUGUGCCACCCUGCCUGCAUUACUGAGCGUUUCUAUCUGGGCCUGAUCUUCUGUUUACCUGACUCUGCUUCAUCUCUGAUUGCUUGCUGCCUGCCCUGACACUUGC